AUACGUAGGGGGCGAGCGUUGUCCGGAAUGAUUGGGCGUAAAGGGCGCGUAGGCGGCCUGUUAAGUCUGGAGUGAAAGUCCUGUUUUCAAGAUGGGAAUUGCUUUGGAUACUGAUGGGCUUGAGUGCAGGAGAGGUUAUCGGAAUUCCCGGUGUAGCGGUGAAAUGCGUAGAGAUCGGGAGGAACACCAGUGGCGAAGGCGGGUAACUGGACUGCAACUGACGCUGAGGCGCGAAAGUGUGGGGAGCAAACAGGAUUAGAUACCCUGGUAGUCCACACUGUAAACGAUGAAUGCUAGGUGUAAGAGGUAUCGACCCCUUUUGUGCCGGAGUUAACACAAUAAGCAUUCCGCCUGGGGAGUACGGCCGCAAGGUUGAAACUCAAAGGAAUUGGCGGGG
Molecule: ribosomal RNA, 397 nt
Filed under: uncultured bacterium
Lineage: Bacteria
Description: partial 16S ribosomal RNA
Rfam family: Bacterial small subunit ribosomal RNA
Source: RNAcentral